Non-coding RNA from Coturnix japonica (Japanese quail), 520 nucleotides. The record is from RefSeq and is a predicted model, not a curated record. Lineage: Eukaryota; Metazoa; Chordata; Aves; Galliformes; Phasianidae.
UGCAUUCACAAAGAAGAAGAAAACAUGCUAGUGAGAGGAUAACAUAUGUGUCCCUCCUCCACCAGGAACAUAACUUGUCUUCUUGAAGUCCAAAAUUUUCUCUCACUGCAUUGCUGGCAGCCCAGCACUCCACGUUGCAAAGUCCUGUCAUACUCUUUUUGCCAUCAUCCAUUACGUCUUCUGACAACUCUGUGCUCUUCCUGUCACACUGACAGAAGUCACUGGAGCUCUCCAGUAAGUUGAUGCAGCAUUUGAUAAUUAGUGCAAGCCAGGCCAUCCCAAAGAGGAUCCAAAUAGAGACUACAUUCUUGUACCAGCUUGGAUAGGUGCGGUCUGGGUUCAUCCCUAGAAAGGAAACAUCACAAACAUUAAGACAUGGAGUGAAGACUGCCUCAAAAAGGCAUUUCAUGUAAAGCAAAGAGAAAGGAGAUAAAUAUGAUCUAAUAUUAGCAAUUCCUACCUAUGUAGGACUAAGAACUAUUAAGAAUCAUGAAAAACUAAACCCUAAAACAGGGCUGUU